UACGUAGGGUGCGAGCGUUGUCCGGAAUUAUUGGGCGUAAAGGGCUCGUAGGCGGCCCGCUAAGUCGAACGUGAAAUCCCCGAGCUCAACUCGGGAACUGCGUCCGAUACUGGUGGGCUUGAAUCCGGGAGAGGGAUGCGGAAUUCCAGGUGUAGCGGUGAAAUGCGUAGAUAUCUGGAGGAACACCGGUGGCGAAGGCGGCAUCCUGGACCGGCAUUGACGCUGAGGCGCGAAAGCUAGGGGAGCAAACGGG
RNAcentral lists this ribosomal RNA (253 nucleotides) under uncultured bacterium. RNAcentral's name for it is "partial 16S ribosomal RNA". It matches the Rfam family "Bacterial small subunit ribosomal RNA", at positions 524 to 776 of the family's 1533-position model. The record is from RNAcentral.